AUGGUGAACUCGCUAGGGCCACACCACUCUUCUUCUUCUUCUUCUUCUUCCUCCACCUCUCGAUCGGGCCAGCGUCCCGCCUCGGGAUUUGCUAGGCUGCUCUGGACCAACUCCUCCUCCUCCUCCUCUGCUCGCGCGCCCGUGGAAAAAUGCCGCCUCCGCCUCCCCGCCUGCUGCUCUACUUAUACCUGCCACUCGCCCUCCCGCCUAGCUAGGACCAUGUCGGCGAGCGCCAUGGAGGACCUCCGCGCCAAGAGCAUGGCGUGCGCCGGGGUCGGGGGCGGGGAGGCGUCGUCGUCCGCAGCGGCCAGCGCCGCCGCGUCCAGGAUCAUCGCGCAGUGGGCCGCGCGGCGCCGGCAGGCCUGCGAGCAGAUGGUGCUCGGCGGGCUCGACCGCCGCGACCGCGACUCGGAGCUCAUGGCGCUCGCGCGCCUCCACGCCGUCUCCACCAUGCUCGACGCCUCCUCCUUCCUCCGCGCCCGCGCCGACGCCAACGACGACGACGACGACGACGGGAGGCGCGCGCGGUCGCCGGAGCGCGCACUCGUGCGGCGGAUCGCGCGUGAGUGGACGGCGCCCGCGCCCGCGCAGCCGCAGGGCUCCCCGCGCGGCGGCAACGACGGCGGCGUAGGCGAGGAGUGGCUGGGCGAGACGGAGCGCGAGCGCGUGCGGUCGGUGCGGGAGCGCGUGCGCAGGGCCAGCCAGGGCGGCGACGGCGGGGACGGCCACGCGCCGGGGCUCCGCUGGCGGCAGGCGCGCGCGCCGACCGCCGCCAGGCGCAUGUCCAUGGAGCGGCUGCGCGAGCUCCAGGGCCUCUCGGAGCACCGCGCUGUGUCCUCCUUCGCCCACCGCGGGCGCAUCCAGUCCAUUCUGCGAGGCAGAAUCAUUGGUGGUGGAAGGCCUACGCGGGACGACGUGACGAUUUCUACGGCAGCCGGAGAAUCGGGACAGAUUACACAGAGUCGUCCUGGAUCUGGAGCAGAAAACAUCACCAGUGAUCAAGCAACUCACCUGGAGAAUGCUUCUGCCAACCAUGAGAUCAUCCAGACGCUUCAGCCAGCACAAGAUCAGCCCGACAACGUACCAAACACCAGUGAUGCUCUGCAGGAUGGCCAGCUUGAUCAGGCACAAGACAUGCACGGGUACCAGGAGUACUCGUCGGACUCGGGGUCCUCGGCGCAGAGCGGCGAGCACUCCGGCUCUUCCUCCGACGGCAACGGCAGCGCGCGGCAGGAAGCCAUAGCUUACGUGCAGCCUCCACCCAGUGUGCAGUGGCCAGGGGAGACAUCGGGAUCGGGUGCUAGUGGCCAGGAAGCAGAGGAGGAGGAGGAGGAGUGGCAUGUCAUUGAUAAUCCAGAAGCUGAAGCACAGCAAUGGCGGCCGGAAGAUCUAGGCGGCUUCGCUCGGCAUAACCGUCUCCAGGAAGACGCGCUCUACGGAAUGUACAGGGCUGAGCUCAGAGAACUCCUAAGCAGGCGCAGCGUCUCCAAUCUGCUCAGCAGCGGCUUCCGCGAGAGCCUGGACCAGCUCGUCCACUCGUAUGCUCAGAGGCAGGAGCAUGACCCUCCAGCUCCACUCAACCAAGACCAUGUUCAACACCAGCGGAUCGGUGGAUCAGACCGGGCCGAGCACGCCGCCGCCGGUGCGCAGCCUGCCGCCGGCCAAAGGCAGCAGCGGCGCUGGCGGAUGGUGCCGCCUCGUCGUGACUGGAACCGGCAACCUGUGCACCGCCCAGAUGAACUUGAAGUUGAUGAGGCCAUCCACGACCUGCGGGACGACAUGGCCGUGCUCCAGCGCGGGAUGGCCAGCACGCAGCAGAUGCUGCAGGCGUGCAUGGAGAUGCAGGUCGAGCUGCAGAGGUCCAUCCGGCAGGAGGUCGCCUCUGCCAUGCACCGCUCUCUGUCCCUCCAUGGGACAGUUAGAUGGUACGAUGAUGGAUCACAGUGGGAGCUGGUGAGGAAAGGGACCUGCUGCAUCUGCUGCGACAGCCAGAUCGACUCGCUUCUCUACAGGUGUGGGCACAUGUGCACCUGCUCAAAGUGCGCCCGCGAGCUGCUCCGCGGGGCCGGCAAGUGCCCGCUGUGCCGCGCGCCCAUCGUCGAGGUCGUCCGGGCUUACAGCAUAAUCUGA
This 2130-nucleotide ribosomal RNA is filed under the name Triticum aestivum (bread wheat). Its description in RNAcentral is "partial small subunit ribosomal RNA". The record is from RNAcentral. Lineage: Eukaryota; Viridiplantae; Streptophyta; Magnoliopsida; Poales; Poaceae.